RNAcentral lists this ribosomal RNA (511 nucleotides) under uncultured bacterium. RNAcentral describes it as "bacterial SSU rRNA". It matches the Rfam family "Bacterial small subunit ribosomal RNA", at positions 32 to 517 of the family's 1533-position model. The record is from RNAcentral.
AAUCAACGCUGGCGGCGUGCCUAACACAUGCAAGUCGAACGCGAAAGCCCCUUCGGGGGCAAGUAGAGUGGCGUCCGGGUGAGUAACACGUGGGUAAUCUACCUCCGGGUGGGGAAUAACUCGCCGAAAGGCGGGCUAAUACCGCAUAAUGCAGCGGCACCGAAUGGUGAUUAGUUGUUAAAGCGGGGGACCUUAGGGCCUCGCGUCUGGAGAGGAGCCUGCGGCAGAUUAGCUUGUUGGAGGGUAAUGGCCUACCAAGGACUGCGAUCUGUAGCUGGUCUGAGAGGACGGCCAGCCACACUGGCACUGACACACGGGCCAGACUCCUACGGGAGGCAGCAGUGGGGAAUUUUGGGCAAUGGGCGAAAGCCUGACCCAGCAACGCCGCGUGAAGGAGGAAAUCCUUCGGGAUGUAAACUUCACAAGCAAGGGAAGAGACGCGCAGGGUCGAAUAAACUCUGCGUCCGACGGUACCUUGCGUAAGCCACGGCUAACUACGUGCCAGCCGCCG